This 51-nucleotide non-coding RNA is filed under the name uncultured Parvicella sp. Lineage: Bacteria; Pseudomonadati; Bacteroidota; Flavobacteriia; Flavobacteriales; Parvicellaceae. The record is from RNAcentral.
AUAAGGUGGAAAAAUUUGAAUGCUUGCAACCACAGAAAAAAAAUGCUAAAU